RNAcentral lists this unclassified non-coding RNA (373 nucleotides) under uncultured Coniochaetales. RNAcentral's name for it is "sequence contains ITS2". The stretch from base 1 to 154 matches the Rfam family "5.8S ribosomal RNA". The record is from RNAcentral. Lineage: Eukaryota; Fungi; Ascomycota; Sordariomycetes; Coniochaetales.
AACUUUCAACAAUGGAUCACUUGGCUCUGGCAUCGAUGAAGAACGCAGCGAAAUGCGAUAACUAAUGUGAAUUGCAGACUUCAGUGAAUCAUCGAAUCUUUGAACGCACAUUGCGCCCGCUAGUACUCUAGCGGGCAUGCCUGUCCGAGCGUCAUUUCAACCCUCAAGCCCUGCUUGGUGCUGGGGCCCUACGGCUGCCGUAGGCCCUGAAAUGAAGUGGCGGGCUCGCUACGACUCCGAGCGCAGUAAUUCGUUAUCUCGCUAGGGAGGUGUGGCGUGCUCCUGCCGUUAAAGACCCCAUCUUUAACCAAAGGUUGACCUCGGAUCAGGUAGGAAUACCCGCUGAACUUAAGCAUAUCAAUAAGCGGAGGCU